AUGGGGCCCAAGCGGUCUCGAGGGGUAGCGGCUCAGCAGGGACACGAGCGAGGUGCCGAAGGUCCAUCCGAUCAGAGGUCAAGCUAAAGGAGCCCGAGAUAACCAGUAUGAGGCAGUACAUCAGCACAAGCCUCCAUGUCUGGGUUGUCUUGCAGCGGCCGUCUGUCCACUUCACAGGGCGAUCUUGGGAGCAGCUGAAGAGAGAGGAGCCUUCUAGGUAUCCCGGAAGGUGACAGCCACAGUGUUGGACUCCGGUCAGGGCCUCGGUGAUGUUGACUCAGAGUAACCUCAUGACUGCAGGAACCACCUCACGAUGGGGCGACUGACUCAGAUUGCUCGUCUUGAGCUGUCCUUGUCUGCAAUCUCCGAGUUUUAAAAGGAUGAGCAGCGAGGCACAGAACUUUAGUGAUGGCAGGAGCCAUCCGGGUAACUUUUGGAAGCAUCCAGGC
Long non-coding RNA from Manacus vitellinus (golden-collared manakin), 449 nucleotides. RefSeq lists it as uncharacterized. The record is from RefSeq and is a predicted model, not a curated record. The transcript has 5 exons. Lineage: Eukaryota; Metazoa; Chordata; Aves; Passeriformes; Pipridae.